UACGAAGGACCCGAGCGUUAUCCGGAUUUAUUGGGUUUAAAGGGUGCGUAGGCGGACUAUUAAGUCAGUGGUGAAAGCCUUCAGCUUAACUGAAGAAUUGCCAUUGAUACUGAUGAUCUUGAGUAUGAUUGAGGUGGGCGGAAUGUGUCAUGUAGCGGUGAAAUGCUUAGAUAUGACACAGAACACCGAUUGCGAAGGCAGCUCACUAAGCCAUAACUGACGCUGAUGCGACGAACGUGGGGAGCAAACAGG
This 252-nucleotide ribosomal RNA is filed under the name uncultured bacterium. RNAcentral's name for it is "partial 16S ribosomal RNA". It matches the Rfam family "Bacterial small subunit ribosomal RNA", at positions 524 to 776 of the family's 1533-position model. The record is from RNAcentral.